Molecule: ribosomal RNA, 200 nt
Filed under: uncultured bacterium
Lineage: Bacteria
Description: partial 16S ribosomal RNA
Rfam family: Bacterial small subunit ribosomal RNA
Source: RNAcentral
CAGCUUUUCGGUUGGACUCUCUGGGGAGACCCCCGGUCAAAGCGGGAGGAAGGUGGGGAGGACGUCAAAUCAUCAUGCCCCUUAUGUCCUGGGCUACACACCUGUUACAAUGGCUGGUACAAAGGGCAGCGAACCCGGGAGGGGGAGCCAAUCCCAAAAAGCCGGUCUCAGUUCGGAUCGCAGGCUGCAAUUCGCCUGCG